AGCAAAUGAUGAUCUCAUUAUCUUGGUCUGUGUUGCUGAAAAUACAUGACAGAUAACGAUCGAAUCUGAUGAU
This is a small nucleolar RNA of Planococcus citri (citrus mealybug), 73 nucleotides long. RefSeq annotates it as small nucleolar RNA SNORD18. The record is from RefSeq and is a predicted model, not a curated record. Lineage: Eukaryota; Metazoa; Arthropoda; Insecta; Hemiptera; Pseudococcidae. The transcript has a single exon.